This 1473-nucleotide long non-coding RNA is filed under the name Vitis vinifera (wine grape). RNAcentral's name for it is "long non-coding RNA (VVIN_LNC003074)". Lineage: Eukaryota; Viridiplantae; Streptophyta; Magnoliopsida; Vitales; Vitaceae. The record is from RNAcentral.
UGGGUGGCGGCUCAGAGUGUCUUCUAUCACUUGUAUAAUCAGGUAUCAUACAUGUCCCUGGAUCAGAUCUCUCCCUUGACGUUUAGCAUAGGAAACACGAUGAAGCGGAUUUCUGUCAUAGUCUCCUCCAUAAUCAUCUUCCAUACACCUGUUCAACCCAUCAAUGCCCUUGGAGCUGCCAUUGCAAUCCUUGGAACGUUUCUCUAUUCGCAGGUAAAUUCUUAUCCCUUUGAUUUGAGUUUAACAGCACAGAAUUCUCUUAUUAUUAUUAUUGUAUUUUUUUGGGUGCGGGGACCAAAAUGCCUAGUCAUAAAUGCAGACAACUUGCUCUCUGUUGGCAUUAUUUCUAUGCCAUUUGUUUUGUGGCAGCAAAAAGGAAAAAGGAAAACUAAAAAUGAAAAUGCAGAACAGUGAGCGAUAGUAGAGGUCCAAAUUAAUUAUCUUUCUUGACAGCCAUUUUUCCCUUGUUACCUUGGGGAGUGUGAGUUCUGCAAGCAUUUAGUUUUAAGAGGCAUAGAUUCAAUCAUACAACUGAUACAAGGCAGGAAAAUUUCAAUACAAUUUACCUUCUUUUACUUGUUUAAUUUAAUAAAAAAAAAUUUGUCCAGCCCAAUAAUGUAACCAUUGCCCUUGCAAUAUCAGCAUUAUUGUGCGUACCAUGUGGACUCCACAGAUACUGAAAUUUUGAAGGCAGUGGUACUAGAGUUCCUCGACAUGCAUAUGCUGCCCUAUGAAAUUAAUGCUAAUGCAAAUUCAUGUAACUGUAUGGUUGAAUGGAUAGAGACCCAUGUUUCAUAUUCUGCCUUUCUUUAUUCUUAUGAUCAUAUGAUUAUUUUCUCUGCUUAAACUAUCUGUUAAUGGUUUUCCAUAUUCAUGUUAGAAGAGUUGAAACCCUUCAUCCAAAUGAUAAGGCACCAUUUGACAAUAUGCCUUUUGAUGGGGACACCCUCUACUUUUGAACGCAACCUUUGCAAACACUGAAUAGACACUGAUCACUGGAUAUGGUGAUAGUUGGACUUGGCUGUGGAGGAGUUUAACGUAAUACUGUGGGGAUGAAAACUCAUAGGAAGAUGGUGAUAGUCGUAAAGGACCUUUGUUCUGUAUUUAAUUAUUAAUUUUUGUGGCUUAUUUAUUUGGACGAGGUUUUAAAACUCAUAGGAAGAUGCCAGUUUACCAACUGUAUUUAUAGUGUUUCUUUUCUUUUUGCAUACCAAAUGAUAAAACUUAUUUUAUGAUACCAAAUCAGCUCUAGUUGAAGCUUGAAUGGCUGCUGAUGGAAAUAUUCAUUUCUAUUCGUUUUUGAGCAGGCAAAGCAGUGAGGAGACCAAGUAACUUGGAAUUUCCCAAGCGAUGUAGAUGAUGAGAUAGAUACACUGAGGAGUCAAUUUGGCUGGAAGCAUGGUUAUCAGCUGAUUCAGCUCUGCGGGUUUUUAUCAUCAAGAUCAUAAUAAUAUUUCGGUGAAUAUCAUCGUA